This 377-nucleotide unclassified non-coding RNA is filed under the name plant metagenome. RNAcentral's name for it is "partial contains 5.8S ribosomal RNA, internal transcribed spacer 2, and large subunit ribosomal RNA". The stretch from base 1 to 104 matches the Rfam family "5.8S ribosomal RNA", at positions 51 to 154 of the family's 154-position model. The record is from RNAcentral.
AAAUGCGAUAAGUAAUGUGAAUUGCAGAAUUCAGUGAAUCAUCGAAUCUUUGAACGCACCUUGCGCUCCUUGGUAUUCCUUGGAGCAUGCCUGUUUGAGUAUCAUGAAAUCUUCAAAGUAAAUCUUUUGUUAACUCAAUUGGUUUCUACUUUGGUAUUGGAGGUCUUUGCAGCUUCACACCUGCUCCUCUUUGUUCAUUAGCUGGAUCUCAGUGUUAUGCUUGGUUCCACUCGGCGUGAUAAGUUAUCUAUCGCUGAGGACACUGUAAAAGGUGGCCAAGGUAAAUGCAGAUGAACCGCUUCUAAUAGUCCAUUGACUUGGACAAUACUUUUAUGAUCUGAUCUCAAAACAGGUAGGACUACCCGCUGAACUUAAGC